AAAGCCCUGACUCUUGCGGGAAAGGGUGUAUUUAUUAGACAAAAAGCCAAUGCGGGCUUGCCCGGUCAUUCGGUGAUUCAUAAUAACUUGUCGAAUCGCUUCAGCUUCACGCUGGCGAUGCUUCAUUCAAAUUUCUGCCCUAUCAGCUUUCGACGGUAGGGUCGUGGCCUACCGUGGCGUUAACGGGUGACGGAGAAUUAGGGUUCGAUUCCGGAGAGGGAGCCUGAGAAACGGCUACCACAUCUAAGGAAGGCAGCAGGCGCGCAAACUACCCAAUCCUGACACAGGGAGGUAGUGACAAGAAAUAACAAUAUUCGGCUUUUACAAGUCGAAUAAUUGGAAUGAGUACAAUUUAAACCCCUUAACGAGUAUCCAUUGGAGGGCAAGUCUGGUGCCAGCAGCCGCGGUAAUUCCAGCUCCAAUAGCGUAUAUUAAAGUUGUUGCAGUUAAAAAGCUCGUAGUUGGAUUUCUGAUUCUGCUUGCGGCGGUCCAGCCAUAUGGUUUGUGUACUGCUCGCUCGCAAUCAUCCUUUCAGGGAGUGUGUCUACCCUUCACUGGGCCGGACCCACGACCUGGAUCGUUUACUUUGAAAAAAUUAGAGUGUUUAAAGCAGGCAAUUGCCUUGAAUACAUUAGCAUGAGUAAUAGGAUAGGACUCUGGUCCUAUUUUGUUGGUUUCUAGGACGAGAGUAAUGAUUGAUAGGGACAUUUGGGGGUGCUCGUAUUGAACGGCCAGAGGUGAAAUUCUUGGAUUCGUUCAAGACGAACUACUGCGAAAGCAUUCGCCAAGGAUGUCUUCUUUAAUCAAGAACGAAAGUUGGGGGAUCGAAGACGAUCAGAUACCGUCGUAGUCUUAACCAUAAACUAUGCCGACUAAGGAUGAGUGGAGUUUGCCUUUUCGACUCCAUUCGCACUUUAUGAGAAAUCAAAGUCUUUGGGUUCCGGGGGGAGUAUGGUCGCAAGGCUGAAACUUAAAGGAAUUGACGGAAGGGCACCACCAGGCGUGGAGCCUGCGGCUUAAUUUGACCCAACACGGGAAAACUUACCAGGUCCAGACAUAGUAAGGAUUGACAGAUUGAAGAUCUUUCUUGAUUCUAUGGGUGGUGGUGCAUGGCCGCUCUUAGUUGGUGGAGUGAUUUGUCUGGUUAAUUCCGUUAACGAACGAGACCUCGACCUGCUAAAUAGUUCGACGAACCCCUCGGGGUUCGCACGCAACUUCUUAGAGGGACUAUCGGUGUCUAGCCGAUGGAAGUUCGAGGCAAUAACAGGUCUGUGAUGCCCUUAGAUGUUCUGGGCUGCACGCGCGCUACACUGACACAUUCAUCAAGCUUACCACCUUGGCUGAGAAGCCUGGGUAAUCUUUUUAAAGUGUGUCGUGAUGGGGAUAGAUGAUUGCAAUUAUUCAUCUUCAACGAGGAAUGCCUAGUAAACGCAAGUCAUCAGCUUGCAUUGAUUACGUCCCUGCCCUUUGUACACACCGCCCGUCGCUACUACCGAUUGAAUGGUUU
This 1507-nucleotide ribosomal RNA is filed under the name metagenome. RNAcentral's name for it is "SSU rRNA". It matches the Rfam family "Eukaryotic small subunit ribosomal RNA", at positions 174 to 1699 of the family's 1831-position model. The record is from RNAcentral.